RNAcentral lists this ribosomal RNA (502 nucleotides) under uncultured euryarchaeote. RNAcentral describes it as "bacterial SSU rRNA". It matches the Rfam family "Archaeal small subunit ribosomal RNA", at positions 343 to 849 of the family's 1478-position model. Lineage: Archaea; Methanobacteriati; Methanobacteriota. The record is from RNAcentral.
ACACUUUACAAUGCGGGAAACCGCGAUAAGGGAACCCCGAGUGCCAGCAUCAAAUGUUGGCUGUCCAGAUGAUUAAAAAUCAUUUGUUAGCAAGGGCCGGGCAAGACCGGUGCCAGCCGCCGCGGUAACACCGGCGGCCCGAGUGGUAGCCGUUUUUAUUGGGUCUAAAGGGUCCGUAGCCGGCCUGAUAAGUCCUUUGGGAAAUCUGGCAGCUUAACUGUCAGGCUUCUAAGGGAUACUGUCAGGCUUGGGACCGGAAGAGGUAAGGGGUACUCCAGGGGUAGGAGUGAAAUCUUGUAAUCCCUGGGGGACCAUCUGUGGCGAAGGCGCCUUACCAGAACGGGUCCGACGGUGAGGGACGAAAGCUAGGGGAGCAAACCGGAUUAGAUACCCGGGUAGUCCUAGCUGUAAACGAUGCUCGCUAGGUGUCAGACACGGUGCAACCGUGUUUGGUGCCGCAGGGAAGCCGUUAAGCGAGCCACCUGGAAGUACGUCGCAAGGC